RNAcentral lists this ribosomal RNA (105 nucleotides) under Gorilla gorilla gorilla (western lowland gorilla). Lineage: Eukaryota; Metazoa; Chordata; Mammalia; Primates; Hominidae. The record is from RNAcentral.
GUCUGUGGCCAUACUACCCGGAACGUGCCUGAUCUCGGAAGCUAAGCAGGUUUGGGCCUGGUUAGUACUUAGAUGGGAGACUGGGAAUAACGGGUGCUGUAGGCU